RNAcentral lists this long non-coding RNA (1004 nucleotides) under Nicotiana benthamiana. RNAcentral's name for it is "long non-coding RNA (NBEN_LNC041361)". Lineage: Eukaryota; Viridiplantae; Streptophyta; Magnoliopsida; Solanales; Solanaceae. The record is from RNAcentral.
UUCUCUGGACAUGAGAGUUCUUCACGGGCCAGCACUCCGCCCCAUACAACAUUGCAGGUCUAACCACAGCUCUAUAAAAUUUUCCCUUGAAUUUAUGUGGAACUUUCUUAUCACACAGGACUCCUGAUGCAAGCCUCCACUUUGACCACCCCGCUCCUAUACGAUGAUUGACGUCCCCGUCAAUCUCUCCGUCCCCCUGAAUCACCGACCCAAGUUAUCUGACACUGUCCCUCUUGACGAUGACCUGAGAUCCAAUCAUCACGUCCCUGCCUACUUCGCUCGGCUCGGCGCUAAACUUGCACUCCCCCAACCCAAAUGAACGGGCCCCUUUAAAACGGAUCAGAGAUGACUAAACAAAACCAAUCAACCCAAAUGAUCAAACAAAAAUCAAAUCCAGUGACUAAGAAGAGAAACAUUUCAGAACUAAAUGAUUUUUUGCAAAUAAGCCUAACUUAUGCUAUUAACCAAUUUGAAAACAAAGACAGGUUAAGACUGAUUCAACUAACAAAAAUAACGAAACAAAUGAAAGUAAUAAUACGUAUAUAAGAAAAACAGAAAAUAAUGCAAAAACUUAGAAAUAACAGAGAAAAGAGGGGAAAGGUGCCAAUUUAUGCCAGAAUGAAGUAACAAAUUGAAAUGACUCAAUGAACGAUGAAAGGAGUCGAAGCUUGACCGGAAUCCGGUGAGUCAGUCAAAAUUCGAAAUAUUCGUAAUGACUCAAAACUCUCAUCAAUGGAUUGCUCUCAUUGAUAGCAAUCUAUUAACGUAAGAUUCGAGUUAAAACGAGUCGAAAUUGGAGGCAAAAUCAGAAAAAGAAAGGGAAAUUAGAGUAACAAUUUUCCGUUUUAUUUGGUUGGAUUCUAAGGAAAGAUACUGAUAGAUUUGGCAAGAAAGAGGGACAAGGAUUGCAUGGUAGAAUUUUUGGGGUGGUUUGAAGCACACCGCUGGCCGGUGAGGGUUGGGGAUUUAGGGCGGCUGGGUUCGAUUAGGGUUUGUUUAGAAAC